CCAGUCGAGCGCGAAACGUAGCAAUACGUGGAAAGCGGCGAAAGGGAGAGUAAUACAUAGGUACGUACCCUUGGACCUGGGAUAGCGGCGGGAAACUGCCGGUAAUACCAGAUAAUGUCUCCGGACCAAAGGUGUGAUUCCGUCUGAGGAGCGGCCUAUGUCCUAUUAGCUAGUUGGUAAGGUAACGGCUUACCAAGGCAAAGAUGGGUAUGGGGUGUGAGAGCAUGCCCCCACUCACUGGGACUGAGACACUGCCCAGACACCUACGGGUGGCUGCAGUCGAGAAUCUUCGGCAAUGGACGCAAGUCUGACCGAGCGACGCCGCGUGCGGGAUGAAGGCCUUCGGGUUGUAAACCGCUGUCGUAGGGGAGGAAAUGCAGGUGGGUACUCCCAUCUGCUUGACUGAUCCUAGGAGGAAGGACCGGCUAAUCUCGUGCCAGCAGCCGCGGUAAUACGAGAGGUCCAAACGUUAUUCGGAAUUACUGGGCUUACAGAGUUCGUAGGCGGCUCAGAAAGUGGGGUGUGAAAUCCCUCGGCUCAACCGAGGAACAGCGCUCCAAACUACUGAGCUAGAGGAAGAUAGAGGUGAGCGGAACUGAUGGUGGAGCGGUGAAAUGCGUUGAUAUCAUCAGGAACACCGGAGGCGAAGGCGGCUCACUGGGUCUUUACUGACGCUGAGGAACGAAAGCUAGGGGAGCAA
This 700-nucleotide ribosomal RNA is filed under the name uncultured bacterium. RNAcentral's name for it is "bacterial SSU rRNA". It matches the Rfam family "Bacterial small subunit ribosomal RNA", at positions 58 to 771 of the family's 1533-position model. The record is from RNAcentral.